CAGGGAGACAACAAAAUGUUUAAUAUUAUUAUUUUGUCACCUUAGGUCGAUCGGUAUCUCACGUUCUUAAUUUGUUAAGAAUUUCAUUUCCUAAGUUUUUCUAGGUCACACCCAUUAUUUUUCCUGGGCCAUUAGCUCAGGUGGUUAGAGCGCACCCCUGAUAAGGGUGAGGUCCCUGGUUCAAGUCCAGGAUGGCCCAUAUCUCUAUGUUGGGGGUAUAGCUCAGUUGGUAGAGCGCCUGCUUUGCAAGCAGGAUGUCAGCGGUUCGAGUCCGCUUACCUCCACUGAUUACCACCUCUUCCAUAACCGGUAGAAAGGAAAUGUUUUGAGUUGUGAUCAUUAUUCUGAACGAAUCUAGCUUCCUAAUGUAAUCAUUAAGAUGCUGGACUCAUUGAAUUAUUUUCAUUGUUUUCAGAGAACCUUGACAACUGCAUAGAUUAUUUUUAAAGACAAUAAGCAUCUUUAAUGAUGCAGAUUUAUUAUUUGUGCGAAUGCAUUAAUAACAAUUCUAUUAAGCUGAUGCUUCAAUUUUUGAAGUUAUU
RNAcentral lists this transfer RNA (542 nucleotides) under uncultured Prochlorococcus sp. Its description in RNAcentral is "partial 16S-23S ribosomal RNA intergenic spacer". The stretch from base 212 to 284 matches the Rfam family "tRNA". The record is from RNAcentral. Lineage: Bacteria; Bacillati; Cyanobacteriota; Cyanophyceae; Synechococcales; Prochlorococcaceae.